CAAGAAUCCUCGUUCUUCUGGGUGGGAAAAUGGCGUGUGGAAUCCAAGAGCCAGCACCAGACCUGCAUUUGUUAUGGGUGUCACUCCUCCUCCCUUUUGUGAUGUCCCCUCUGAGGCCCACUCUGGAUGACUAUGGCCCUCACCUGGCCCUGGGCAGGGGUGCCACUGUGCUCAGAGCCCUCCCCAUGGUGUUUGGACCGAGCUGCUCAGGGGAGGGAAGGAGGAGGGCAGUGCCUGAACGUGGAUUCAGAAAACAUGAGCUGUGUUUCACCUAAGGGGGCAAACUGCAAUGGGAAAGGCUAUCCAUGAACUCCCCAUCUGAUAAUCCACUCUUCAGAGUCAGGACUGGAUGAAGACUCCUGUAAAACAGGGUCCAGCUCAGAUGUCCAUCAAUAAGAGGAGGAAUACAAAAACCAACUGUGGUAUAGUCAGGCACUGCGCAAUCACUCACUAAGAGUAGAAAAGAUUCCUGAUUCCUGCAAUGAAUAGACGAUGCCCACAAAAAUUAUGAUGAGCCACAGAGACCAGACACAAGAGGAUGCAUCUGUGUCUUUCCCAUGAAGUUCUAAAGUCAGCAAAACUAUGGUGGAGAAAAACCUCAGAAAAGGGAUUGCCUCUGAGCCGUGGGGGAGGGGAUUUAGGGGAAGGAGUGUGAGGGAACUUUCUCCGGGUGACAACGGGUGUCUACAGGCAGGUGAGUGCAAGCAGCAAAUUCAGCAAAGCUACACUGGAGACUUGGAUCUUCCGUUGUAGGAAAACUUUACAUCAAAAGAAGUCAACAAGCUCUAGACCCUAGUAAGUGAAUAUGCACACUCACAUAUUUGGGGGUGUGUGCUGGUGUCUGUAAUUUACUUUGAAAAGCAUCAGAACAGAUGGGCUGAUGGUGGAAUCCAUGGGUG
Molecule: long non-coding RNA, 899 nt
Filed under: Marmota monax (woodchuck)
Lineage: Eukaryota; Metazoa; Chordata; Mammalia; Rodentia; Sciuridae
Source: RNAcentral